Molecule: non-coding RNA, 31 nt
Filed under: Mus musculus (house mouse)
Lineage: Eukaryota; Metazoa; Chordata; Mammalia; Rodentia; Muridae
Source: RNAcentral
UNCAAAGUGAUACUAUGCCACCAUGUUGCCG